This 465-nucleotide ribosomal RNA is filed under the name uncultured bacterium. RNAcentral describes it as "partial 16S ribosomal RNA". It matches the Rfam family "Bacterial small subunit ribosomal RNA", at positions 28 to 505 of the family's 1533-position model. The record is from RNAcentral.
GACGAACGCUGGCGGCGUGCUUAACACAUGCAAGUCGAACGGAAAGGCCCUGCUUUUGUGGGGUGCUCGAGUGGCGAACGGGUGAGUAACACGUGAGUAACCUGCCCUUGACUUUGGGAUAACUUCAGGAAACUGGGGCUAAUACCGGAUAGGAGCUCCUGCUGCAUGGUGGGGGUUGGAAAGUUUCGGCGGUUGGGGAUGGACUCGCGGCUUAUCAGCUUGUUGGUGGGGUAGUGGCUUACCAAGGCUUUGACGGGUAGCCGGCCUGAGAGGGUGACCGGCCACAUUGGGACUGAGAUCCGGCCCAGACUCCUACGGGAGGCAGCAGUGGGGAAUAUUGCACAAUGGGCGGAAGCCUGAUGCAGCAACGCCGCGUGCGGGAUGACGGCCUUCGGGUUGUAACCGCUUUCGCCUGUGACGAAGCGUGAGUGACGGUAAUGGGUAAAGAAGCACCGGCUAACUACG